UCCCAAGUUCAUUCAGGCAAGUUGUGAGA
RNAcentral lists this non-coding RNA (29 nucleotides) under Rattus norvegicus (Norway rat). Lineage: Eukaryota; Metazoa; Chordata; Mammalia; Rodentia; Muridae. The record is from RNAcentral.